UACGAAGGGGGCUAGCGUUGCUCGGAAUCACUGGGCGUAAAGCGCACGUAGGCGGAUCUUUAAGUCAGGGGUGAAAUCCCGAGGCUCAACCUCGGAACUGCCUUUGAUACUGGGGAUCUCGAGUCCGGGAGAGGUGAGUGGAACUGCGAGUGUAGAGGUGAAAUUCGUAGAUAUUCGCAAGAACACCAGUGGCGAAGGCGGCUCACUGGCCCGAUACUGACGCUGAGGCACGAAAGCGUGGGGAGCAAACAGG
RNAcentral lists this ribosomal RNA (253 nucleotides) under uncultured bacterium. RNAcentral describes it as "partial 16S ribosomal RNA". It matches the Rfam family "Bacterial small subunit ribosomal RNA", at positions 524 to 776 of the family's 1533-position model. The record is from RNAcentral.